This 54-nucleotide ribosomal RNA is filed under the name Mallocybe fulvipes. RNAcentral describes it as "partial 18S ribosomal RNA". The record is from RNAcentral. Lineage: Eukaryota; Fungi; Basidiomycota; Agaricomycetes; Agaricales; Inocybaceae.
UAGAGGGAAGUACACGUCGUACAGGUUCCGUAGGGUGACCUGCGCAGAUCAUAU